GAACCUCCUUCGGGAGGGGAUUAGUGGCGAACGGGUGAGUAACACGUGGGCAAUCUGCCCUGCACUCUGGGACAAGCCCUGGAAACGGGGUCUAAUACCGGAUACUGACCCGCUUGGGCAUCCAAGCGGUUCGAAAGCUCCGGCGGUGCAGGAUGAGCCCGCGGCCUAUCAGCUUGUUGGUGAGGUAAUGGCUCACCAAGGCGACGACGGGUAGCCGGCCUGAGAGGGCGACCGGCCACACUGGGACUGAGACACGGCCCAGACUCCUACGGGAGGCAGCAGUGGGGAAUAUUGCACAAUGGGCGAAAGCCUGAUGCAGCGACGCCGCGUGAGGGAUGACGGCCUUCGGGUUGUAAACCUCUUUCAGCAGGGAAGAAGCGAAAGUGACGGUACCUGCAGAAGAAGCGCCGGCUAACUACGUGCCAGCAGCCGCGGUAAUACGUAGGGCGCGAGCGUUGUCCGGAAUUAUUGGGCGUAAAGAGCUCGUAGGCGGCUUGUCACGUCGGUUGUGAAAGCCCGGGGCUUAACCCCGGGUCUGCAGUCGAUACGGGCAGGCUAGAGUUCGGUAGGGGAGAUCGGAAUUCCUGGUGUAGCGGUGAAAUGCGCAGAUAUCAGGAGGAACACCGGUGGCGAAGGCGGAUCUCUGGGCCGAUACUGACGCUGAGGAGCGAAAGCGUG
RNAcentral lists this ribosomal RNA (678 nucleotides) under Streptomyces sp. CUA-916. Its description in RNAcentral is "bacterial SSU rRNA". It matches the Rfam family "Bacterial small subunit ribosomal RNA", at positions 71 to 763 of the family's 1533-position model. Lineage: Bacteria; Bacillati; Actinomycetota; Actinomycetes; Kitasatosporales; Streptomycetaceae. The record is from RNAcentral.